Molecule: ribosomal RNA, 251 nt
Filed under: uncultured bacterium
Lineage: Bacteria
Description: partial 16S ribosomal RNA
Rfam family: Bacterial small subunit ribosomal RNA
Source: RNAcentral
GUACGGGGGGUGCAAACGUUGCUCGGAAUUAUUGGGCGUAAAGCGCACGUAGGCGGUCCUGUAAGUCGGGUGUGAAAGCCCCAGGCUUAACCUGGGAAGUGCACUCGAAACUGUAGGGCUUGAGUAUGGAAGAGGGUCUCGGAAUUCCCGGUGUAGAGGUGAAAUUCGUAGAUAUCGGGAGGAACACCAGUGGCGAAGGCGGAGACCUGGGCCAAUACUGACGCUGAGGUGCGAAAGCGUGGGGAGCAAAC